UGAGGAAUAUUGGUCAAUGGGCGCGAGCCUGAACCAGCCAAGUAGCGUGAAGGAUGAAGGUCCUACGGAUUGUAAACUUCUUUUAUAAGGGAAUAAAGUCAUCUACGUGUAGGUGUUUGUAUGUACCUUAUGAAUAAGCAUCGGCUAACUCCGUGCCAGCAGCCGCGGUAAUACGGAGGAUGCGAGCGUUAUCCGGAUUUAUUGGGUUUAAAGGGAGCGUAGACGGGUCGUUAAGUCAGCUGUGAAAGUUUGGGGCUCAACCUUAAAAUUGCAGUUGAUACUGGCGUCCUUGAGUACGGUUGAGGCAGGCGGAAUUCGUGGUGUAGCGGUGAAAUGCUUAGAUAUCACGAAGAACCCCGAUUGCGAAGGCAGCCUGCUAAACCGCCACUGACGUUGAGGCUCGAAAGUGUGGGUAUCAAACAGGAUUAGAUACCCUGGUAGUCCACACGGUAAACGAUGGAUACUCGCUGUUGGCGAUAGACUGUCAGCGGCUUAGCGAAAGCGUUAAGUAUCCCACCUGGGGAGUACGCCGGCAACGGUGAAACUCAAAGGAAUUGACGGGGGCCCGCACAAGCGGAGGAACAUGUGGUUUAAUUCGAUGAUACGCGAGGAACCUUACCCGGGCUUGAAUUGCAGACGAAUUGCUUGGAAACAGGCAAGCCGCAAGGCGUCUGUGAAGGUGCUGCAUGGUUGUCGUCAGCUCGUGCCGUGAGGUGUCGGCUUAAGUGCCAUAACGAGCGCAACCCUCGUGUCCAGUUACUAGCAGGUUAUGCUGAGGACUCUGGACAGACUGCCAUCGUAAGAUGUGAGGAAGGUGGGGAUGACGUCAAAUCAGCACGGCCCUUACGUCCGGGGCUACACACGUGUUACAAUGGGGGGUACAGCAGGCAGCUACCGGGCGACCGGAUGCCAAUCCCGAAAGCCUCUCUCAGUUCGGACUGGAGUCUGCAACCCGACUCCACGAAGCUGGAUUCGCUAGUAAUCGCGCAUCAGCCACGGCGCGGUGAAUACGUUCCC
This 1017-nucleotide ribosomal RNA is filed under the name uncultured bacterium. Its description in RNAcentral is "bacterial SSU rRNA". It matches the Rfam family "Bacterial small subunit ribosomal RNA", at positions 355 to 1375 of the family's 1533-position model. The record is from RNAcentral.